This is a long non-coding RNA of Ruditapes philippinarum (Manila clam), 2928 nucleotides long. RefSeq lists it as uncharacterized. The record is from RefSeq and is a predicted model, not a curated record. Lineage: Eukaryota; Metazoa; Mollusca; Bivalvia; Venerida; Veneridae. The transcript is spliced from 2 exons.
UGAAAGAAGUUGGCAUUCGCUAAAAGUUUAUCAACAUAUUUCAUUUUCAGCCAGACGUUUACACGAUAAUCAUGAUCACUUGUAUGAAUGACGUUAGCCAUCUUCGUAUUGAAAGGAAACACCACCGUAACCUUAUCCUUCUGAGGUUAGAUGACACACCGCCCGGUGGCCGCUCCUUCUUGGACAAGUUGAACGAUUAUAUGGUAGUUCCAUCAGGGGAAGAUAUUUUAAAUUUCUUGAACUGGGCUGACGUUGCAUUGAAAUUAUCUAUUCCAUUUACACGUACUCCUACAGUUCGUUUCAACCGGUCCGAUAAAGUCAGUGCAUUUAAACAAAUUGCAGAAUUAAUACAAUAAUAUCCAUGUACAAAUAUGGCCCCAAAAACUCCUUACAAUUUCUAAAAAGUUAUUUUCCGGUUUUAAUUUUUUUUUCACAUUUCUGAUUAUAAUCUUUCGUUGUUAAAGAAUAUUAUGCACCGGUUCCUAUCCUGUGUACGUUCAAUAUUACAAGGGAAAUAUGUUUAAUUCAUUAUAAAUGAAUAUAUGAAAGAAAUUUUAGUGUCAAUGGUAUUUUUUAAUGAUAAUUUAUGUCUGAAGGUGACACUUUAAUGACAAGGGCUAUUACUGGUAACAACUUUAGACAGAAUCAUAUAGACCAUUCACGAAGUCUUUACAAAGAGACUGAAACGCAAAGUAGGACUGUUUUAUUAUACACAUUUGUUGAUGAUUUAUUUGGAGACUUGGAGAUUUAGGGAUUCUUUUUCUCUCUAUUGAUAUUUUAUGGGAACAAUAGCGAUUUGAAUAAUUUUAAUUAUUAUAAUACAUUUUCUAUUCGUCUUCAAAUAAAUGUACCCAAUGUACGUUCCUCACUAUGACAGCUGUAUUCUGUUUUAUGCGCCCACAAAGGUUCGGCGUAUAAAGUUAUUUCCCUGGCUGUCCGUUCAUCCGAUAGUCCGCCCGUCUGCCUGUAAGCCAUUGCGUACCCGCUCUGUAUCUGUAUUUUUUACCGAUUGAAGGGAAUUGUAACUGCAUAGCGGAAGCGUAGAUUUUGGCUUUCUCGGGUCAAGUACAAGGUCACACUCACUAAUCUUCAUGAAAUAAUAUCAUUUUUUGUGUUCCUUCUAAAACUUUUUAGCUGAUGGCUCGAAAUUAAAACUAUUUGGUCGAAAUUUUCAAAACAUUGAAAAAAUGUGUUUCACGCAGUUUUGGGUUUCCUCAGAUCAAUGUCAAGUUCACACUUACAUAUUCGAAAUCCUCAUAUAAUUCAUUAUAAUAUGUAUCAAAGGGAGAAUACUCCGUAUGUAUUAUUUUAUUAUAUUGUUUCCAUCCUUUAUUAACAUAUGAUACUUAUUUGUUUUUUUAUCAUUCUUUUAUUCCUUAAGACUCUGUCUGGUAAGAUGAUUAUUAUUUAAAAUAUUUAACUUGUCUAUGAUUAAAACACAUUUAAUUAGAUUUUCACAGUAAUGUUACAUAAAACUUUUGAAACUUUAAAGAUGUAAAUUAACAAAAUUACAACUAAUUUAAAAUAUGAUACAUAAAGAUAGAUUAAUUUUAAAAGGUAAGUUAUGAAAACUUUCAAAUUGAAUGAAAUAGUGUGAAGCACGCAGUUAUAAUUUUUUUAGCUUACUAGAUACAUGUAUUUGUUAUAAAACAUUGCCUUCUGGACUUAAACAUAAAAUAUGUAAAUAAUGCCCCUGGGAUUAAUAUUGGACAUGUCGCAGGGGUCACUCCCUUAUAGACUUGAACAGGAAAACUUAAAAACUUAUUUAUGUCUUCUUGUCUAAAUUCCACAAUGCACAGAUCGUAGAUAUUGGCAUGCAUCGUUGUUUAAAAGAGCUCUUCAAUAGUCACAAAAUUUAUCACCUUGUGUAAAAAGGCUUUGCCCGGGGACUGGGACCACACGAAUAACAUGUUUGUAGAUUUAUAUAGCAAAAUGUAUUGAAUAUCCUUUCAUAAAUAUUUGCAAUAUUCAGAGCUUAUUUGUGCAUGUAGCAUCAGUGUGUGUUUGUCAAAGUAUUUUGUAAUUCCUAGUUCCAUUUUGAUGAUUAUUGAGAUUAUGAAGUUCUGGCAAACUGUUAUUGGUAUGACUUUUGUAAUACUUCUCGUUUAAAACAAUUAUUAUUGGUUUAAAGUCAGUUUAUAUACUCAAAUAAAACGUAUCAUAUACAUGUGUAAUGAAAUGUACUCUAUUCUAAAUGAACAAAUAUUUUAAUAUUUUAAAGACUUUGAACCUAUUUGCAUUCGAGCACAUAUUGCCUCGCCUGCGUGGUGCUCUUUUUGCUGUAUAUCGCUGACCUUUUUUAAAUUUUAGAUAAAGUAGAUUACCACUGUUUUAGUUGAUCUACUAUGAUUUUGUCUAUAUUUUAUUACUGAUGACUUAUCAUCACCAUUUUGUAUUUUUGAAAGCCAUUUCCGAGACAUUGAAUGAAUUAAAUUUAUAAAAAGCUACAGCUUUAUCAAUAUUGGUAGAUAGCAAUAUAAUAUAUGUGAAUAGGAUGCAAGGAAGGGAAGUAAUAACGUUGUACAAUUAUAACUGUCUAUGAAACGUUGCGUCCCCUUUCUUCAAGUUUUUCAAAACAAUGUUUUAAUUCAAUUAAAAAAAUCACCACAAAUUCGUUUUUAAAAAUAUAAUGUAUACAAAAUGGGACCAUAACAUUUUAAAGCUAAUGUUUAAUUAGUACAAAACAACUUACGAGUUAUACGUUAAAAAGAAGAAUUAUAGAAUUAUAACGCAAACAGUUUUAUUCCACGGAAAUUUGUUGAUUUUGAAACUAAUCAUUUAAGAAUAGGAUAGAAAUAACUGUCAUAUUUAUUUGUCACAAUUAUUUAUGUUACAAACUAUAACUAUAUACUAGAUGUUUACUAUAUGAUAAUCCACAUCCAUGUAAUUCACAAAUAAAUAAAUAAAAUUAAAAAGAACUGUCAUAAA